GGCUCAGGAUGAACGCUAGCGGCAGGCUUAAUACAUGCAAGUCGAGGGGCAGCACGGGUAGCAAUACCUGGUGGCGACCGGCGCACGGGUGCGUAACACGUAUGUAACCUACCUUAAACUGGGGAAUAGCCCCUUGAAAGAGGGAUUAAUACCUCAUAACACUGCGAAGAGGCAUCUUUUUGCAGUUAAAGUUCCGACGGUUUAAGAUGGGCAUGCGCGACAUUAGCUUGUUGGUGAGGUAACGGCUCACCAAGGCUGUGAUGUCUAGGGGUUCUGAGAGGAAAAUCCCCCACACUGGUACUGAGACACGGACCAGACUCCUACGGGAGGCAGCAGUAAGGAAUAUUGGUCAAUGGGCGCAAGCCUGAACCAGCCAUGCCGCGUGCAGGAUGACGGCCCUAUGGGUUGUAAACUGCUUUUAUACGGGAAAAAACCCUCCGACGUGUUGGAGGCUGAUGGUACCGUAAGAAUAAGGAUCGGCUAACUCCGUGCCAGCAGCCGCGGUAAUACGGAGGAUCCAAGCGUUAUCCGGAUUUAUUGGGUUUAAAGGGUGCGCAGGCGGAAUUAUAAGUCAGUGGUGAAAUCCUGCAGCUUAACUGCAGAACUGCCAUUGAUACUGUUAUUCUUGAGUAUAUUUGAAGUGGGCGGAAUGUGUCAUGUAGCGGUGAAAUGCUUAGAUAUGACACAGAACACCAAUUGCGAAGGCAGCUCACUAAGCUAUAACUGACGCUCAUGCACGAAAGCGUGGGGAUCAAACAGGAUUAGAUACCCUGGUAGUCCACGCCGUAAACGAUGAUUACUCGAUGUUGGUGAUACACAAUCAGCGUCUAAGCGAAAGCAAUAAGUAAUCCACCUGGGGAGUACGAUCGCAAGGUUGAAACUC
RNAcentral lists this ribosomal RNA (883 nucleotides) under uncultured bacterium. RNAcentral's name for it is "bacterial SSU rRNA". It matches the Rfam family "Bacterial small subunit ribosomal RNA", at positions 21 to 902 of the family's 1533-position model. The record is from RNAcentral.